Molecule: ribosomal RNA, 290 nt
Filed under: uncultured bacterium
Lineage: Bacteria
Description: partial 16S ribosomal RNA
Rfam family: Bacterial small subunit ribosomal RNA
Source: RNAcentral
GUGGAUUAGAUACCCUGGUAGUCCUAGCCGUAAACGAUGGAUGCUAGGUGUUGGCGGACUUAACCCUGCCAGUGCCGAAGCUAACGCGUUAAGCAUCCCGCCUGGGAAGUACGAUCGCAAGAUUAAAACUCAAAGGAAUUGACGGGGACCCGCACAAGCAGCGGAGCGUGUGGUUUAAUUCGAUGCUACACGAAGAACCUUACCCAGGUUUGACAUAUAGGUGGUAGUGAACUGAAAGGGGAACGACCCGCAAGGGAGCCUAUACAGGUGUUGCACGGCUGUCGACAGCU